This 91-nucleotide transfer RNA is filed under the name bacterium. Its description in RNAcentral is "tRNA-Leu". It matches the Rfam family "tRNA". Rfam says of the family: Transfer RNA (tRNA) molecules are approximately 80 nucleotides in length. Their secondary structure includes four short double-helical elements and three loops (D, anti-codon, and T loops). The record is from RNAcentral.
CGAGAGGUGGCGGAAUUUGGUAGACGCGUCUGCGUAAAGCAGAUGUCCUUAAUGAUCUGAGGACGUAUAGGUUCAAGUCCUAUCCUUGCGG